UACGGAGGAUGCGAGCGUUAUCCGGAUUUAUUGGGUUUAAAGGGUGCGUAGGCGGGAUGCCAAGUCAGCGGUAAAAAUGCGGUGCUCAACGCCGUCGAGCCGUUGAAACUGGGUGCCUUGAGUGGGCGAGAAGUACGCGGAAUGCGUGGUGUAGCGGUGAAAUGCAUAGAUAUCACGCAGAACUCCGAUUGCGAAGGCAGCGUACCGGCGCCCAACUGACGCUGAAGCACGAAGGCGUGGGUAUCGAACAGG
This 252-nucleotide ribosomal RNA is filed under the name uncultured bacterium. RNAcentral describes it as "partial 16S ribosomal RNA". It matches the Rfam family "Bacterial small subunit ribosomal RNA", at positions 524 to 776 of the family's 1533-position model. The record is from RNAcentral.